Molecule: ribosomal RNA, 1550 nt
Filed under: Enterobacter cancerogenus
Lineage: Bacteria; Pseudomonadati; Pseudomonadota; Gammaproteobacteria; Enterobacterales; Enterobacteriaceae
Description: bacterial SSU rRNA
Rfam family: Bacterial small subunit ribosomal RNA
Source: RNAcentral
AAAUUGAAGAGUUUGAUCAUGGCUCAGAUUGAACGCUGGCGGCAGGCCUAACACAUGCAAGUCGAACGGUAGCACAGAGAGCUUGCUCUCGGGUGACGAGUGGCGGACGGGUGAGUAAUGUCUGGGAAACUGCCUGAUGGAGGGGGAUAACUACUGGAAACGGUAGCUAAUACCGCAUAAUGUCGCAAGACCAAAGAGGGGGACCUUCGGGCCUCUUGCCAUCAGAUGUGCCCAGAUGGGAUUAGCUAGUAGGUGGGGUAACGGCUCACCUAGGCGACGAUCCCUAGCUGGUCUGAGAGGAUGACCAGCCACACUGGAACUGAGACACGGUCCAGACUCCUACGGGAGGCAGCAGUGGGGAAUAUUGCACAAUGGGCGCAAGCCUGAUGCAGCCAUGCCGCGUGUAUGAAGAAGGCCUUCGGGUUGUAAAGUACUUUCAGCGGGGAGGAAGGCGAUAAGGUUAAUAACCUUGUCGAUUGACGUUACCCGCAGAAGAAGCACCGGCUAACUCCGUGCCAGCAGCCGCGGUAAUACGGAGGGUGCAAGCGUUAAUCGGAAUUACUGGGCGUAAAGCGCACGCAGGCGGUCUGUCAAGUCGGAUGUGAAAUCCCCGGGCUCAACCUGGGAACUGCAUUCGAAACUGGCAGGCUAGAGUCUUGUAGAGGGGGGUAGAAUUCCAGGUGUAGCGGUGAAAUGCGUAGAGAUCUGGAGGAAUACCGGUGGCGAAGGCGGCCCCCUGGACAAAGACUGACGCUCAGGUGCGAAAGCGUGGGGAGCAAACAGGAUUAGAUACCCUGGUAGUCCACGCCGUAAACGAUGUCGACUUGGAGGUUGUGCCCUUGAGGCGUGGCUUCCGGAGCUAACGCGUUAAGUCGACCGCCUGGGGAGUACGGCCGCAAGGUUAAAACUCAAAUGAAUUGACGGGGGCCCGCACAAGCGGUGGAGCAUGUGGUUUAAUUCGAUGCAACGCGAAGAACCUUACCUACUCUUGACAUCCAGAGAACUUUCCAGAGAUGGAUUGGUGCCUUCGGGAACUCUGAGACAGGUGCUGCAUGGCUGUCGUCAGCUCGUGUUGUGAAAUGUUGGGUUAAGUCCCGCAACGAGCGCAACCCUUAUCCUUUGUUGCCAGCGGUCCGGCCGGGAACUCAAAGGAGACUGCCAGUGAUAAACUGGAGGAAGGUGGGGAUGACGUCAAGUCAUCAUGGCCCUUACGAGUAGGGCUACACACGUGCUACAAUGGCGCAUACAAAGAGAAGCGACCUCGCGAGAGCAAGCGGACCUCAUAAAGUGCGUCGUAGUCCGGAUUGGAGUCUGCAACUCGACUCCAUGAAGUCGGAAUCGCUAGUAAUCGUAGAUCAGAAUGCUACGGUGAAUACGUUCCCGGGCCUUGUACACACCGCCCGUCACACCAUGGGAGUGGGUUGCAAAAGAAGUAGGUAGCUUAACCUUCGGGAGGGCGCUUACCACUUUGUGAUUCAUGACUGGGGUGAAGUCGUAACAAGGUAACCGUAGGGGAACCUGCGGUUGGAUCACCUCCUUACCUUAAAGAA